Long non-coding RNA from Camelina sativa (false flax), 763 nucleotides. RefSeq lists it as uncharacterized. The record is from RefSeq and is a predicted model, not a curated record. Lineage: Eukaryota; Viridiplantae; Streptophyta; Magnoliopsida; Brassicales; Brassicaceae.
AAAAAAAACACACACACAUUACCGUCAAUUUAAAAUCUUAACUCAUAAAGCGAAACCACACACACACAUUACCGUCCUUUUGAAGCUGUUUUGGUUAUCAGAAGAAGAAAAGAAAAAAAAAAUCGAAACUUUAACUCUCAGAUUGAAAUCGAAAGCACGGAUCUUUCUUCAAAUCUGCAGGAACCCAUUCAUGAUUUCGAAGAUCUGUUUAUCAAAUCUAAGAUCUGGGUUUGGUUUGUUAAUUUGAACAAAACCCAACAACCAUGUGCGAUCAAAGACCAAUUUUUCUAAGGUCUCUCGUGCUGUUGGGUUUCUUCCUCUUCUCUGCAAUUGGAGAAGAAUGCUCCAAUACGAGCUCAUUGGUUGGGCACGAGUCUGAGUUCAAGAUGUUACAGCACCAGCUUCGUCGGGACGUAGGCGUUGUCCCGGACGUGCGCAUAGGCCUGUACUAGAAAGAAUGGAGCUUUACGUGCGUAAUGAUAUGGCGGAAUGCCAGAGGAUGGAGGCACAUGAUGGAGCCAAGAUGUUACAGAAUAUUUCAGGGGAUGUGCAGGUUCUUGUACACGAUCCUCGAAGAGUUGCAGAGCCUAUGAUCAAGACUUCUCAGUAGUAGUGGGUUGUUUAUUUGUCCCAUUUAAUGAUGUUGUUCUCUGUUUGGUUGAUUUUCCAAAUAAUUUGAACUUCUUGGAAACAAUGAGGACUUGGUCAUCUAUGUGAACCAUAGAUAAUAAAGAAUUAUUGAGUAAUAUUAAGAUUUUAUAUA